RNAcentral lists this ribosomal RNA (480 nucleotides) under Flavobacteriaceae bacterium JJ-308. Its description in RNAcentral is "bacterial SSU rRNA". It matches the Rfam family "Bacterial small subunit ribosomal RNA", at positions 16 to 497 of the family's 1533-position model. Lineage: Bacteria; Pseudomonadati; Bacteroidota; Flavobacteriia; Flavobacteriales; Flavobacteriaceae. The record is from RNAcentral.
AUCCUGGCUCAGGAUGAACGCUAGCGGCAGGCUUAACACAUGCAAGUCGAGGGGUAUGCUUCUUCGGGAGCAGAGACCGGCGCACGGGUGCGUAACGCGUAUGCAAUCUACCUUUUACAGAGGGAUAGCCCAGAGAAAUUUGGAUUAAUACCUCAUAGUAUAUAGACUCGGCAUCGAGAUUAUAUUAAAGUCACAACGGUAAAAGAUGAGCAUGCGUCCCAUUAGCUAGUUGGUAAGGUAACGGCUUACCAAGGCUACGAUGGGUAGGGGUCCUGAGAGGGAGAUCCCCCACACUGGUACUGAGACACGGACCAGACUCCUACGGGAGGCAGCAGUGAGGAAUAUUGGACAAUGGGCGCAAGCCUGAUCCAGCCAUGCCGCGUGCAGGAUGACGGUCCUAUGGAUUGUAAACUGCUUUUGUACAGGAAGAAACACNGUUCGUGAACCAGCUUGACGGUACUGUAAGAAAUAAGGAUCGGC